This is a non-coding RNA of Balaenoptera musculus (blue whale), 72 nucleotides long. NCBI's taxonomy places the organism in Eukaryota, Metazoa, Chordata, Mammalia, Artiodactyla, Balaenopteridae. The record is from the annotation of a RefSeq genome assembly.
UCCCUGGUGGUCCAGUGGUUAGGACACGGCACUUUCACUGUCGUGGCCCAGGUUCAAUCCCUGGCUGGGGAA